This 156-nucleotide RNase P RNA is filed under the name Methylophaga sp. RNAcentral's name for it is "partial RNase P RNA component class A". It matches the Rfam family "Bacterial RNase P class A", at positions 1 to 166 of the family's 367-position model. Rfam says of the family: Ribonuclease P (RNase P) is a ubiquitous endoribonuclease, found in archaea, bacteria and eukarya as well as chloroplasts and mitochondria. Its best characterised activity is the generation of mature 5'-ends of tRNAs by cleaving the 5'-leader elements of precursor-tRNAs. Cellular RNase Ps are ribonucleoproteins. Lineage: Bacteria; Pseudomonadati; Pseudomonadota; Gammaproteobacteria; Thiotrichales; Piscirickettsiaceae. The record is from RNAcentral.
UGAGACGACUUGGCAAUCGCACUGAUAGUCAUAUUGGUGAGGAAAGUCCGGGCUCCAUAGGGUAAGGUGCCAGGUAACACCUGGGGGGCGCGAGCCCACGGCCAGUGCAACAGAGAGUAUACCGCCGAAGCGAUUCGGUAAGGGUGAAAGGGUGCG